Molecule: ribosomal RNA, 305 nt
Filed under: uncultured bacterium
Lineage: Bacteria
Description: bacterial SSU rRNA
Rfam family: Bacterial small subunit ribosomal RNA
Source: RNAcentral
GAGCUCCUCGGGGGGCAGCAGUGAGGAAUAUUGGCCAAUGGGCGCGAGCCUGAACCAGCCAAGUCGCGUGAGGGAAGACGGUCCUAUGGAUUGUAAACCUCUUUUGUCGGGGAGCAAAAGACGCCACGUGUGGCGUUCCGAGAGUACCCGAAGAAAAAGCAUCGGCUAACUCCGUGCCAGCAGCCGCGGUAAUACGGAGGAUGCGAGUGUUAUCCGGAUUUAUUGGGUUUAAAGGGUGCGCAGGCGGAAGAUCAAGUCAGCGGUAAAAUUGAGAGGCUCAACCUCUUCGAGCCGUUGAAACUGGU